RNAcentral lists this unclassified non-coding RNA (232 nucleotides) under Hevea brasiliensis (rubber tree). The record is from RNAcentral. Lineage: Eukaryota; Viridiplantae; Streptophyta; Magnoliopsida; Malpighiales; Euphorbiaceae.
UUGCUUCUACCCCUUCCCCUACACCUAAGGGUGAUCCAGAAAAUGACAAUGUGAAGAGUAUAAAAGUUUUAUGGCUCUCUUACUGCUCGUGCUCCUUCAAUUUUUUUUUAUAUCUUCACUAUAGAUGAAUUUUGGUUCUCAGAAUAUUAUGGAUAAUUAUAGGCGAUUUGUUUUUAACAUUAAGAAAUAAGGCAACAUUCUACUUGUUUUUCUUAAAUCUUCAGGAUUGAUG